Non-coding RNA from Punica granatum (pomegranate), 576 nucleotides. Lineage: Eukaryota; Viridiplantae; Streptophyta; Magnoliopsida; Myrtales; Lythraceae. The record is from RefSeq and is a predicted model, not a curated record.
UUCAUCCCUCUUCAGUUCAAUCGGAUCUUCAUGGUCCCUCGCAAUGGCUGCCCCUGCAGUCCACACCUUGACCAAGCCUCCCCCACCAUACACGUCUCGAUACGUAGCCGUCAUCGGCGCCGGAGCAGCAGGCCUCGUUGCGGUUCGAGAGCUCCGUCGAGAGGGUCACCGGCUUCGUCUAUGAGCGGGAGAGUCGGUCGGAGGUACAUGGGUCUACACGCCCAAGUUUAGUCAUCGGUGGCUUCAUCAGUUCAAUCUUUUCUUCGCUAGUUCGCCUCUCUCACCGUCUGGUCCGUCUUUGUUGAGCUGAUCGAGCAGAGGAGAUGUCGAAUGGGGAUACAUACGAGAAAAACCAUGACGAAAUCGAUUUGAGUUCUUUGGCAACAUAAGAGGGAAAUAUUGGAGAAUCCAUUCUAACAUUUACGGGAACGGGAGCACAAGCGCCGGUAGAGAAGAGAGAUACAGCCUCUGGUUUGACACGGCUGAAGAUUUUUCACCAGUACAACAUCCUCUGGACUGACUUUCAGAUCAUGUAAGCUUCUAUCUAAUUAUCAAAAGUGAAUUUUUACUUGUUCC